This 80-nucleotide transfer RNA is filed under the name Candidatus Minimicrobia vallesae. RNAcentral describes it as "Candidatus Saccharibacteria bacterium IHU2 tRNA-Ile". Lineage: Bacteria; Candidatus Saccharimonadota. The record is from RNAcentral.
GGGCGAUUAGCUCAGCUGGUUAGAGCGCGUCACUGAUAGAUGACGAGGUCGGAGGUUCCAAAGUCCCUCAUCGCCCACCA